UACGGAGGGUGCGAGCGUUAAUCGGAAUUACUGGGCGUAAAGCGCGCGUAGGCGGUUUGUUAAGUCGGAUGUGAAAGCCCCGGGCUCAACCUGGGAACUGCACCCGAUACUGGCCGACUUGAGUGCGAGAGAGGGAGGUAGAAUUCCAUGUGUAGCGGUGAAAUGCGUAGAUAUAUGGAGGAAUACCGGUGGCGAAGGCGGCCUCCUGGCCCGACACUGACGCUGAGGUGCGAAAGCGUGGGUAGCAAACAGG
RNAcentral lists this ribosomal RNA (253 nucleotides) under uncultured bacterium. RNAcentral's name for it is "partial 16S ribosomal RNA". It matches the Rfam family "Bacterial small subunit ribosomal RNA", at positions 524 to 776 of the family's 1533-position model. The record is from RNAcentral.